GGGCUUCAGUAUUGGCAUCACAUGCUUAGUAAAUUGAAUGUAAACAAAGCAGUUUAGCCUGCAGUGGAACACCGAGUUCUUUGGCGGGGGUAGGGGGGACCAGUGAGAUGGGAAUCUGAUAACUUUUAUUUCCUCACUUAAGUCAAACAUAUAAUACCAAGUUAUAACUUUUUUUUUUUUUUUGCCUUGUUUGGUGUAUGAGGAUAAAAGCAAUUUGUUGAAAAAUAUAUCCCAAAAGAAUAAGUAAGCAGGCUUCAAAAUCAAAAGACUUAAGAAUGGGAUUGGCAGCGCUCAGCUCUCAAUGCAGGAAGUACCAAAAUGUGCUGGUGACAGGAGUUCUCAAGCCCCUUCAUGAGAUUUAUUUUCCUCGGUGUUCUCUGGUAAUGGAUUGCCUUGACACUUGGCCUUGGAUGGUCCUGUGGCCUUUUCCAGGAUGGAUCGUGAUCAGACUUUUUUCCUAUGGGAGUAUCUAGCACAGUUUUGAUAUAGAAGUAAAUGGAAGAAAUGGCUUCAGCAUACGUAUUGAGAAAUCAGUC
Long non-coding RNA from Neogale vison (American mink), 536 nucleotides. RefSeq lists it as uncharacterized. The record is from RefSeq and is a predicted model, not a curated record. The transcript is spliced from 3 exons. Lineage: Eukaryota; Metazoa; Chordata; Mammalia; Carnivora; Mustelidae.